Molecule: ribosomal RNA, 492 nt
Filed under: uncultured bacterium
Lineage: Bacteria
Description: partial 16S ribosomal RNA
Rfam family: Bacterial small subunit ribosomal RNA
Source: RNAcentral
AGUGAACGCUGGCGGUAGGCCUAACACAUGCAAGUCGAACGGCAGCACAGUAAGAGCUUGCUCUUACGGGUGGCGAGUGGCGGACGGGUGAGGAAUACAUCGGAAUCUACUUUUUCGUGGGGGAUAACGUAGGGAAACUUACGCUAAUACCGCAUACGACCUACGGGUGAAAGCAGGGGAUCUUCGGAUCUUGCGCGAUUGAAUGAGCCGAUGUCGGAUUAGCUAGUUGGCGGGGUAAAGGCCCACCAAGGCGACGAUCCGUAGCUGGUCUGAGAGGAUGAUCAGCCACACUGGAACUGAGACACGGUCCAGACUCCUACGGGAGGCAGCAGUGGGGAAUAUUGGACAAUGGGCGCAAGCCUGAUCCAGCCAUACCGCGUGGGUGAAGAAGGCCUUCGGGUUGUAAAGCCCUUUUGUUGGGAAAGAAAAGCGGCAGGUUAAUACCCCGCUGUUCUGACGGUACCCAAAGAAUAAGCACCGGCUAACUUCGUG